AGCGUGUCUUGCGAUGCCGAAGCCAGACUGCCCGUCGAACUGAUGCUGGACUUCGUUGAGGCGCAUCGGAAUGCGCACGGCGUCGAGCCGAUCUGUGCGGUACGGCCGAUCGCCCCU
Lyngbya confervoides is the source of this 117-nucleotide non-coding RNA. The record is from Rfam. NCBI's taxonomy places the organism in Bacteria, Bacillati, Cyanobacteriota, Cyanophyceae, Oscillatoriales, Microcoleaceae.